Molecule: long non-coding RNA, 1391 nt
Organism: Lycium barbarum (goji berry)
Lineage: Eukaryota; Viridiplantae; Streptophyta; Magnoliopsida; Solanales; Solanaceae
Exons: 3
Source: RefSeq, a predicted model, not a curated record
GUCUGUUGGCUUUAAUAUUUGUAUUAGUCUGGGAGUUUAGGGCCAGUUUCUUGGUUUUUUUCUAAGUGACUAAGUGUAAUUCAUUAGUUAGCCCAGUUUUGUUAUAUUUCUCAUAAGUGAUGCUAUUUGGGCCUAAGGUUCUUCCUCACUAUUAUUUUUGCUUCGGCCUGAUUGUCUUUAAAAUGUGUUCACUAUUAAAUGUUGUAAUACAUUCAACUAGAUUGUACAUUAUGUGUAUGCUAUAGCUAGUUUUGUAGUAAGCUCUGCAUACAAAUAUUGAUGCUUUUUCUCUAUAUACUAUCAUCAAUAGUAAAUCAUACAUCUAGUUUUAAUCUGCAUACUGUCAUAAGUUUAUAUCACAGUUCAAGCCUAAACUCAUUAUCCUUCCUUUCUCCAAUAAUAUGUCACAAUAAGAGAGAACUGAGUUGUUACACCUCUCGUUUUCAUUGUAGGAGAACCUAUGGUUUCCUAGUCGGGUAUGCCUUUGGAAUAGAGACUCGAGCCCGAGUUUUUGAAUUAGAAAGUCUUGCCCCGUGUACAAGAGUACCUGCAGUUGUUCCUGGCAAUUUCACGGACAGUCGUUGUCCGACAUCGAUAGGGUUCCGUAGCCUUGAAUCUACAGGCGCAGGUUGAAGGAUCGUCGACACGUCGACGGGUCAUCGACCCGCUCGUCGAACUGCACCACUGUAAAUUUUUCACUCCGAGUAUAAAUAUGUCGUUCACCACUUUAUUUCACAUUUUCCUCCAUUCCAGAUCAGGGAAACCCUAGUAUUUUCUCUCCCAACAUUUUCCAUCAUUAUUAGUGGUGAUUUGGAAAGAUCCGAGGCUCGUGAACCCGUGCUUGUCAAGAAGAAGGUUGUUUCUAGGGGUUUUUCAAGGUUGUGAAGCUUAGGAAGUUAGAUUUGAAGUGAUUCUUGAAAUUUUAGACCCCUCAAGACUUACGAGCUCGAGGAUUACAAGCUGGGCGAUUAGAUACAGUUCGAAGUAUGUUGAGGCUAUCUUUUCUUUCCUUUGGCAUGAUCCUAUGAUAUGAGACAACGAGCAAGUUCAGGUAGACUGACAGGUGGUCCAGCUUAGUAGGACUUCUAUCCAGCUGUGGUCAGUGCGCUCCAUUGAUCCGGAGUUGCAGUCUAUUUUGGUAUGCUAUCCUUUUGAGAGGUAUAUGCACUUGGGUAUAAGGGGGCCCUGUCCCGUCCUUUCUACUGCUAUUAUUUCAGCAGAGGUCUGUAGACUGUUGUAUGUAUUAGUCAGAUGAUAUAGCCUUGUCGGCUUCUAUUCUUUUGUGUACAGUAUGUGUAGCAGUCGAGCUGGCUUGCACUGUUCGUUAGUAUGUUUAUGUGUAUACAGAUUGUUCAGAGUUCAUGAUGUCGCCUAUUUAUGAGAUCAGUUUA